UACGGGGGGGGCAAGCGUUGUUCGGAAUUACUGGGCGUAAAGGGCUCGUAGGCGGCCAACUAAGUCAGACGUGAAAUCCCUCGGCUUAACCGGGGAACUGCAUCUGAUACUGGAUGGCUUGAGAUUGGGAGAGGGAUGCGGAAUUCCCGGUGUAGCGGUGAAAUGCGCAGAUAUCGGGAGGAACACCGGUGGCGAAGGCGGUUCUCUGGGCCUUACCUGACGCUGAGGAGCGAAAGCGUGGGGAGCGAACAGG
RNAcentral lists this ribosomal RNA (253 nucleotides) under uncultured bacterium. Its description in RNAcentral is "partial 16S ribosomal RNA". It matches the Rfam family "Bacterial small subunit ribosomal RNA", at positions 524 to 776 of the family's 1533-position model. The record is from RNAcentral.